Molecule: ribosomal RNA, 940 nt
Filed under: Enterococcus faecalis
Lineage: Bacteria; Bacillati; Bacillota; Bacilli; Lactobacillales; Enterococcaceae
Description: bacterial SSU rRNA
Rfam family: Bacterial small subunit ribosomal RNA
Source: RNAcentral
AGGACGAACGCUGGCGGCGUGCUAAUACAUGCAAGUCGAACGCUUCUUUCCUCCCGAGUGCUUGCACUCAAUUGGAAAGAGGAGUGGCGGACGGGUGAGUAACACGUGGGUAACCUACCCAUCAGAGGGGGAUAACACUUGGAAACAGGUGCUAAUACCGCAUAACAGUUUAUGCCGCAUGGCAUAAGAGUGAAAGGCGCUUUCGGGUGUCGCUGAUGGAUGGACCCGCGGUGCAUUAGCUAGUUGGUGAGGUAACGGCUCACCAAGGCCACGAUGCAUAGCCGACCUGAGAGGGUGAUCGGCCACACUGGGACUGAGACACGGCCCAGACUCCUACGGGAGGCAGCAGUAGGGAAUCUUCGGCAAUGGACGAAAGUCUGACCGAGCAACGCCGCGUGAGUGAAGAAGGUUUUCGGAUCGUAAAACUCUGUUGUUAGAGAAGAACAAGGACGUUAGUAACUGAACGUCCCCUGACGGUAUCUAACCAGAAAGCCACGGCUAACUACGUGCCAGCAGCCGCGGUAAUACGUAGGUGGCAAGCGUUGUCCGGAUUUAUUGGGCGUAAAGCGAGCGCAGGCGGUUUCUUAAGUCUGAUGUGAAAGCCCCCGGCUCAACCGGGGAGGGUCAUUGGAAACUGGGAGACUUGAGUGCAGAAGAGGAGAGUGGAAUUCCAUGUGUAGCGGUGAAAUGCGUAGAUAUAUGGAGGAACACCAGUGGCGAAGGCGGCUCUCUGGUCUGUAACUGACGCUGAGGCUCGAAAGCGUGGGGAGCAAACAGGAUUAGAUACCCUGGUAGUCCACGCCGUAAACGAUGAGUGCUAAGUGUUGGAGGGUUUCCGCCCUUACAGUGCUGCAGCAAACGCAUUAAGCACUCCGCCUGGGGAGUACGACCGCAAGGUUGAAACUCAAAGGAAUUGACGGGGGCCCGCACAAGCGGUGGA